GGGAAGAGAGAGAAAAAAAACGACCUUUGUGUGUGUGCUUCAAAGGCUUGUAACCAUGGAAACCCCCAAAAACAGCCCCAGCCCUCGAAUCCCGGUGCCCCGAGAUGAUAGCGGCCUGUGGAUGAGGAUGGACUCCGACCCUCUGAUGGACCACACAGGGGGCCGCGGGCGGAAGCCCCGAGAGGCGACCACGGACCCCCCGCGUGGCCCGGCAGUGAUCACCAGAUGCUCAGGUGAAUAAUUCCAACGUGACCUUUACAAAGGGGUCAGCUGAAGAUAAUCCCAGUGGCUUAGGUUGGCAUCCUGGGGAGAGCCGGCUAAUGGCAACGCAGAGCGCAGCGGAGCAAGUGAACACCGAGCAGACGUCUACGGGCGGCGCAUCCCCGCCUGAAGUCUCCAUUCUACCUGAAGAACAAGACCUGACAUCAAUGGAGGGAGCAUGUUGUGAUCCAACCCAGAGACGCCAUCAUGGCAGAACAGCGGGCGGCGAGCAAUCGGAGCCUGAGGAUAUUUUGAGUGAGGGGCAGAAACGGUGCAGAGAGGCUCAAAGCAACAAGAACCCAAAACAGGUACCUUCAAACAUUGAGGAGAACUCUGAAAACACACAGAAUUUUGACAAAGAGGGAGAAUCAAUGUGUGGCUUUGCUAAGACGUACUCAGCCGUGCAACAUGCUGACUUUGGUGAAGAUUUUGAGUCCAAUGAGCCUCCGGAGCCCUCCAAAAGACCCCAAAACCCGACGGACGCAGCGACCUGUCGGCCGUACGUACCAGAGGUCCCAGUGGAGGAGUCCAAUGGACACUCCAUCUCCGACGGCUCCGAAGAGACAGGGCAGGGAGAUGGGAGCAGGAGAAUAUCUAAUGGUAUCCAGCAAGGAGAGCAGCUGCUUCAACGUCUGCAGCUGGUCCAGCUGCGUCAGGACGUGUCUCUACCCGGGAGCCCUGACGCCUCCCAGCAGGCUGUCCGAGAGACACGAGGCGAGACAAGGAGCGCACCUGGGAGUGACGUAGGCGAUUCGAAAGCAAGGGGAGCCCACUUGACGGGUGAGAAUGAGGAAGAAGAGAGCGGGGGAGAGAGAUGGAAGCCGAUGGCGGUGGAAGGGAGUGGGAGGUAUGCCGUGGAACUGGAGGCUGGGAUGUCUUUGUUAAUGCCGACGGUGCAGUUAGAGCAGCACAAGACCACCAUGGCAGAGGCAGGAGACUGUGAGGAAGAUCAAAGGGACCCCGGUGAAACCUCCUCCACCCAGAAUCCCUUUCUCUCCACCUGCCACCGACUCUCGGCCUCCGAGGCCUGGGUUGAGGGGCGGAGCCCCAGCGAGGCCCUGGGGAGCCUGCAGAGAGCAAGCGGCAUCUUCGACGUCGCCGAUGAUCCAGACGUGCUGGAGAUCCCCUUCAAGAACCAUAUUACGCUCGACCCCUUCCCCACCGAUGAUGGCGGCGACUGGCAGUUCUCCUCGCAGAAGAUGAAAAAGGAGAUAAGCCAGGAGACGCGGAGGGAGCUGGUGCUGGUCAACCAGGGCAAGAUCCCGGGGGGGUACAGCAAAGGAGAGGUCCACCAGCGGAAGGAGACAAAGCUCCUGUUCGAGGCCUUCCAGCAGAUCAACACGGAUGGUCCGGCAAGGCCCCCAAGACCCAUCGUGAAAGGUCACGUUUACCCCUCUGUGCUGGAGCGCACCCGCAGCAUGGAGAUGCUGUCGCUCAAAAGUCGGCCCGUCUGCAGAACACAAUCCUUCCGGCUGAUUAAGGAGAGCGAGAAACACGCAGAAAUCCUCAGGCCAUCGAGCCUAAAGAGCGGUUCUCCGGACAAAGCGCGCCCCUCUCACUCCGCAAGACACAAGGAGCGCGUGCAGCUGAGCGGUAGCGCGGACUCCGGCGGGGAUGCCGGGAGCAGAGACACGGAGGCCAACGGCCCGAAAGAAUGUCCCGCCGUCAGGGGAAACCCCUUCUUCAAGCUGCGCCCGGCCCUUGCUCUGAAGCCAGAGGUAGAGAAGGACAUCCGGGAGGCCAAGGAGAGAGAGGAAGAGCUGCGCAGACAGAGAUGCACCCUGUACGGGGAGAACGGGCCGAGGGGUGAAGACGGAGAGGGGUCAAGGUUCAAACCGACGCUCGCCACAGACGUCAGGAAACAAUUGAGGGGAAAACUGGAACGCGUAUGGCCGCCGCCCUCCAAGAAGGACCAGAAGAAUUCGGAGCAGACGCAGGAGGCAAAGGUUCACAGGGUGGGAGGUCAGAGGGCGUCUCUGUGGCAGCGCUGGGAGUCCGGCCUGAUCAACGGGAAGACGCCAAAGGAAAAAAAAUGA
Molecule: long non-coding RNA, 2297 nt
Organism: Gasterosteus aculeatus (three-spined stickleback)
Lineage: Eukaryota; Metazoa; Chordata; Actinopteri; Perciformes; Gasterosteidae
Source: Ensembl